UCUGCCCCUCCUCAAGAGCAAAAGCAAAUGUUGGGUGAAUGGCUGUUUCCUCUCAUUCAAGCCAUGCACCCUACUCUUGCUGGUAAAAUCACUGGCAUGUUGUUGGAGAUUGAUAAUUCAGAACUUCUUCAUAUGCUUGAGUCUCCAGAGUCUCUUCGUUCUAAGGUUGAUGAAGCUGUAGCAGUACUACAAGCCCACCAAGCUAAAGAGGCUGCCCAGAAAGCAGUUAACAGUGCCACUGGUGUUCCAACUGUUUAAAAUUGAUCAGGGACCAUGAAAAGAAACUUGUGCUUCACUGAAGAAAAAUAUCUAAACAUUGAAAAACUUAAAUAUUAUGGAAAAAAACAUUGCAAAAUAUAAAAUAAACAAAAAAGGAAAGGAAACUUUGAACCUUAUGUACCAAGCAAAUGCCAGGUCUAGCAAACAUAAUGCUAGUCCUAGAUUACUUAUUGAUUUAAAAACAACAAAAAAAAAAAAAACA
Tupaia belangeri chinensis (Chinese tree shrew) is the source of this 481-nucleotide long non-coding RNA. RefSeq lists it as uncharacterized. The transcript is spliced from 2 exons. The record is from RefSeq and is a predicted model, not a curated record. Lineage: Eukaryota; Metazoa; Chordata; Mammalia; Scandentia; Tupaiidae.